Molecule: ribosomal RNA, 252 nt
Filed under: uncultured bacterium
Lineage: Bacteria
Description: partial 16S ribosomal RNA
Rfam family: Bacterial small subunit ribosomal RNA
Source: RNAcentral
UACGUAGGCAGCGAGCGUUGUUCGGAGUUACUGGGCGUAAAGGGUGUGUAGGCGGUUUUCGUAAGUUUGGUGUGAAAUCUCCCGGCUCAACCUCGGAUGCCGGUGGAUACUGUCGGGCUUGAGUACGGAAGAGGCGAGUGGAAUUCCUGGUGUAGCGGUGAAAUGCGCAGAUAUCAGGAGGAACACCAAUAGCGAAGGCAGCUCGCUGGGACGUACUGACACUGAGGCGCGAAAGCGUGGGGAGCGAACAGG